UAGUGGCGAACGGGUGAGUAACACGUGGGCAAUCUGCCCUUCACUCUGGGACAAGCCCUGGAAACGGGGUCUAAUACCGGAUAUCACCUCCACUCGCAUGGGUGGGGGUCGAAAGCUCCGGCGGUGAAGGAUGAGCCCGCGGCCUAUCAGCUUGUUGGUGAGGUAAUGGCUCACCAAGGCGACGACGGGUAGCCGGCCUGAGAGGGCGACCGGCCACACUGGGACUGAGACACGGCCCAGACUCCUACGGGAGGCAGCAGUGGGGAAUAUUGCACAAUGGGCGAAAGCCUGAUGCAGCGACGCCGCGUGAGGGAUGACGGCCUUCGGGUUGUAAACCUCUUUCAGCAGGGAAGAAGCGAAAGUGACGGUACCUGCAGAAGAAGCGCCGGCUAACUACGUGCCAGCAGCCGCGGUAAUACGUAGGGCGCAAGCGUUGUCCGGAAUUAUUGGGCGUAAAGAGCUCGUAGGCGGCUUGUCACGUCGGGUGUGAAAGCCCGGGGCUUAACCCCGGGUCUGCAUUCGAUACGGGCUAGCUAGAGUGUGGUAGGGGAGAUCGGAAUUCCUGGUGUAGCGG
RNAcentral lists this ribosomal RNA (574 nucleotides) under Streptomyces sp. RNAcentral's name for it is "bacterial SSU rRNA". It matches the Rfam family "Bacterial small subunit ribosomal RNA", at positions 93 to 681 of the family's 1533-position model. The record is from RNAcentral. Lineage: Bacteria; Bacillati; Actinomycetota; Actinomycetes; Kitasatosporales; Streptomycetaceae.